CCAGGGGAAGCAGUAGCUGGAACUUAUGCUGUGAUGGGAGCAUUGUGCCUUUUGGCUGAUGGCUAAAUUGUCCUGUGCCAGGAUGCUCCCAGGGCUGCAGACUUCAGCAUGUGCCUUGCAGCUGGAACAGAACCUGCUCCUGGGUCCCUGUAGGGCCAGGCUGAGUGUGUGUAGCAAGUCAUCACCAACAUUCACUUGCAACUAAUCCAUGGACUCAUUCCAAGUCUGCCCAGGUCCCGCCCCUGAGGACCUCCAGGCUCCAGGCUCCACCCACAGAACAUUCUAACAGCCUUAAUGGAAUGGCCCAGUCUCUCCAGCCCCUGGCAGUAAAGCUCUGCCCUACAGAAUAAAGAGCCCAAGCCCAGGACUUAAGAACCAGCCUGGAAAUCUCCAUCCUGAGAUAAACCCUGUGUUCUGCUCAGUUCUCUGCUGCUUCUCACCCGAGCAGGGUUUUCCCUCCCAAUAAAUCUCUUGUGUGAGGUC
This is a long non-coding RNA of Rattus rattus (black rat), 483 nucleotides long. RefSeq lists it as uncharacterized. NCBI's taxonomy places the organism in Eukaryota, Metazoa, Chordata, Mammalia, Rodentia, Muridae. The record is from RefSeq and is a predicted model, not a curated record. The transcript has 2 exons.